UAUUAUUGCCCGGAAUCUGAGAGCCAGUCUAGCAUUGGGAAUUAUUGGUGUGAUGGAGAUUAUCAGAAGAGAUGCGAAAGAAAACUAAAAAUAACAGGAUCUAGAAAAAAAAGUCAAUGCUAACUAGAUUACGGAGAUGCUAAAAAUAUGUCUCCGAUCUCUGGGCUCUCCACUCUGAUGCUUGUCGAGAAGAAACACAGUGCUAAUUAAACAAGUGUUGUUGCUGGUAAAGCAGAACCAGAAUGAAUUAUUUCGCCAUUUGCUAUAUACAUAAGUUACUUAAAAUGCUAUUUCACUAACCCAUGGCUUAUGGGUUGGUUAUAGAUGGACAUGUCCAUUGAUUAAAUGGAUACCUUUCAAGAGGAAUACUAUAUUCGUGUACAUGAUGGUGUUUGGCAUAGCAUAAUACGGCCCGAAAUGGAAGCUUAAACAUACCACAAGCGUCACAAGCCCCUUAAUUGAGGAUCACGGUCUCUGUCACUCCCUUUACUGAUGUUGUAAAUACGAAUGUGUAGCUAGGAUGGGAGAUGGGAUAAUAAUAAUGCAAUUGCGACUGGCAGUUUUAUAAGAGUCGUGUUUUGUUGGAAAUGAGUGGGUGUUUCUGACCUUUGUAGUUUACUAGCUGUUGAAUAAUUAAAGAUUUUAUGUGGGUGAAAAGUGAAGGUAAAUAUAUAUUCGUUAAACAAACAAAG
Molecule: long non-coding RNA, 692 nt
Organism: Folsomia candida
Lineage: Eukaryota; Metazoa; Arthropoda; Collembola; Entomobryomorpha; Isotomidae
Exons: 2
Source: RefSeq, a predicted model, not a curated record